GAUGAACGCUAGCGGCAGGCUUAACACAUGCAAGUCGAGGGGUAUAGUUCUUCGGAAUUAGAGACCGGCGCACGGGUGCGUAACGCGUAUGCAAUCUACCUUUCACAGAGGGAUAGCCCCAGAGAAAUUUGGAUUAAUACCUCAUAGUAUAGCAGUUUCGCAUGAAACCACUAUUAAAGUCACAACGGUGAAAGAUGAGCAUGCGUCCCAUUAGCUAGUUGGUAAGGUAACGGCUUACCAAGGCAACGAUGGGUAGGGGUCCUGAGAGGGAGAUCCCCCACACUGGUACUGAGACACGGACCAGACUCCUACGGGAGGCAGCAGUGAGGAAUAUUGGACAAUGGGCGCAAGCCUGAUCCAGCCAUGCCGCGUGCAGGAUGACGGUCCUAUGGAUUGUAAACUGCUUUUUANACAGGAAGAAACACUCCGACGUGUCGGAGCUUGACGGUACUGUAAGAAUAAGGAUCGG
This 469-nucleotide ribosomal RNA is filed under the name uncultured bacterium. Its description in RNAcentral is "bacterial SSU rRNA". It matches the Rfam family "Bacterial small subunit ribosomal RNA", at positions 28 to 496 of the family's 1533-position model. The record is from RNAcentral.